GGGGUAGCUGAGUGGGAGAGCACCUGCUUUGCAUGCAAAAGAUGCCAGGUUCAAUCCUUGACAUCUCCA
Podarcis lilfordi (Lilford's wall lizard) is the source of this 69-nucleotide non-coding RNA. The record is from the annotation of a GenBank genome assembly. NCBI's taxonomy places the organism in Eukaryota, Metazoa, Chordata, Lepidosauria, Squamata, Lacertidae.